CCUGAGCUCAGGCAACAACC
This 20-nucleotide ribosomal RNA is filed under the name Haematococcus lacustris. RNAcentral's name for it is "partial large subunit ribosomal RNA". The record is from RNAcentral. Lineage: Eukaryota; Viridiplantae; Chlorophyta; Chlorophyceae; Chlamydomonadales; Haematococcaceae.